GCGGGGGCACUGCACUGGCCCUGACCAGUGCACUGUAACCCAAUAAACCCUUUCAAUCUGUAGCCUGCUGGAGUCAAUGUGAAGGCCCAAAAACUUCAGCAGCCAGUUUUCAAAGAAGCUGACUGGCUGCUCACCCUCACCUUCAGGGAACCCGACAAUUCGGAGAUUUAUCCUCCAACCUCGACUUUCGAGGUUGUUAAUAUGGUCUCGCAAGGCCUGCAUCUCUCGCUCCAGCACCUGGAGGAGGACUCCAUCUCAGCUUCUGAGGCCUUAGUUCAACCCUCCACCUCCUCCAGCCUAAGUUGGACCUGGGCACGAAUCUCCCACGGAUCUCCUCAAUUGCAGCCCCAGCUUUCAAGAUAAGUCUCUCCAUCCCCAAUUCUUAUGUAACUUCAUCUUUAAGCAGUCAGAAGUUCAGAAUACUUGUCUGAAUCUAGAAAACAGGAUUGUCAAUUUUUCUAAUCAGAGAUGUUGAGCAGAUUGGACUUCUGGGAUUCCACCUCUGUAGCCGGUACAAAAAGGCCAACAGUGAAAAAGACAGGCACUCAUCAGGAGUCUGAAACAACAGCUGGUCUCAUUUAUUAUAACACCAUUGUGAGAUAAAAAUUUAAGUAUAACAUUACACAAUGAAAAUCUU
This is a non-coding RNA of Chiloscyllium plagiosum (whitespotted bambooshark), 637 nucleotides long. The record is from RefSeq and is a predicted model, not a curated record. Lineage: Eukaryota; Metazoa; Chordata; Chondrichthyes; Orectolobiformes; Hemiscylliidae.